This is a non-coding RNA of Morus notabilis, 119 nucleotides long. The record is from Rfam. Lineage: Eukaryota; Viridiplantae; Streptophyta; Magnoliopsida; Rosales; Moraceae.
AGGUGAAUUACAGGGCAAAAUCUCCAUUGGCAGGAAGAUUAGUCAUUGUACACUGGUUGGCGCACCACAUUUUCCUAUCUGCACCUCCUGCCAAAGGAGAUUUGCCCAGCAAUUCUCCU